Molecule: long non-coding RNA, 2043 nt
Organism: Tachysurus vachellii
Lineage: Eukaryota; Metazoa; Chordata; Actinopteri; Siluriformes; Bagridae
Exons: 3
Source: RefSeq, a predicted model, not a curated record
AACUGAACUAGCGCUGCCUAGUUCAGGUAACAAUCAAUUAACUUAACUUGCUUACAUACAAAUGUAUCUCACACACUCUGUAUCUCACACAGUCCCUUGUCAUACAUAGAUGUUCUACUUGUUGUGUGUUAUGUUACGUUAUGUUAUGUUGUGCUUGUGGGUUCACGUACACUUAUCACGUGUGUACUUAUUUUCUACUUGUGGGUUCAUAUAUUUAUCUAUCUACCCACGUACACUUAUCACCGUGUACUUAUUGUAUAUUUAUAUUGUGUAUUUAUCUAUGUACAUACACUUAUCACAUAUAUAUAUUAUCCACUUAUUCUCAUAUUCAGAUCAUUCUAUACAGAUUAUCAUAUACAAAUUAUCAUAUACACAUUAUCAUAUACACAAUACCGGGGGCCCCCCUUUUUCACCGUUCCUACCAAGCAGAUCUGUCUCAACCAACCGCGAUAUCUAAGAACUAACGCGUUUUUACCACCUGCCGUCCUGCCCCGGUCGUGAGUCCGCACCGUCCUGCCCCGGCCCAGUACUCACACCGGAGGAUACGCUCCAGGAAUUUUAUCAUGCGCUUUACCACCUGCCGUCCUGCCCCGGUCGUGAGUCCGCACCGUCCUGCCCCGGCCCAGUACUCACACCGGAGGAUACGCUCCAGGAAUUUUAUCGUGCACUUUACCACCUGCCGUCCUGCCCCGGUCGUGAGUCCGCACCGUCCUGCCCCGGCCCAGUACUCACACCGGAGGAUACGCUCCAGGAAUUUUAUCCAGGCCUAACUACUACAUAGUACACUCAUGAGAUUUUUCACACACACACACACAGUCACACAUCAAAACCUUAUCCUGUUAUGUGGCUUUCCCUUCGUUAUUUCUCAUCCAGCUCUUUAUCUCACCCUUAGGGGUUCUUAUCUCGAGGGUGUCUGUCCGCUCUCCUUCUCGGGGCCACACCCCUCGCUCAGGCCACAGAUUCACUAUACACAGACAUUUGAGUUUAACAGGCGUCUGCUCACCUUGUUAUUUAUGGCCGGCCUCUGUAGCCUGUCAGAGAGAGCGGUCCCGGUUCUGGAGGCAGUUCACACCGUCCCUGCAGAGGUCGCUUCGUGGUCGCCAUUAAAUAUGUCGGAACUUAGAGCCCGUCUCCAAGUCGGCACAUAUCAGGGUGAAUUCUACUGAUAUACUUUGUAAUACUUUUAUACUAUAAUUAUUACUUAGACUUAAUUUACUGAUAGCACUAACAUUAACACGAAUUAAAACAAUGGGAAAGCUCCUCAGACCUGGAUGAGAAUGAGCAAACUUCUUUAUUGUGGUCAGUCAGCCAACAAUUCUCUAAGAGAAAUUGGCAAUUUGAAAGUAACAAAAGAAAUCCCAAAAACCCAAAAAGAAAAAGCAUCUUCAUGAAGAGCAUCGGCAUGCAAAAACAAAAACCCUCAGGACGGUCCUGCAGAGUAACGGUAUUUUUACGCAUACACCUUUGGCCCCAAAAAUUCUCCUCUAUAUAUACGCUUCCACGCGCCUCCUUAUCGGUUCCCCUCCUCACAGGCCCGUUUUCAUAUCACUUUAUCAUUAUGUCACCUUAUUUACCGGAAUCAUCUCAUAUGUUUUUGUAACGUCCUGUUCCUUAAAAUCCCCUUGUUUUUCCUUCACCUUUUGCCCAUAUGCCCAUUUAUGGAUUUUCCUCCCCUUAGUUCCCCGGGACCCAGGUCCGGGAGCCCAGGCCUGUGACCCUGGGUCUUCUUCAUUCGCCAUAACAAUUAUAUCUAAACAACAAUUUUGUUAUUAAAAGUGUGCUCAAAAAAGAGCCUCACUCCCUGGUCGAAGUUACAUUUGCCUCUCAGUUUUUCCAUGCCAGACAUCCUGAAGAUUAAUCCUUCAUUCAACUACAAUGGACCCUUCGCCUCCAGGUCGGUCAGCUCAUCCUAGUCGCCCUAUCAGGUCCUCGCCUCACCAUUCUCGUCCUUCUCCCUACACAAGGCCAGUGCCAGCUGAAGUCAUGGAGACCUAUCGCCGCCUCCAGCUACUUCAUAUCACCCGUUCAAGGAUUUUCACAACA